Bos taurus (domestic cattle) is the source of this 568-nucleotide long non-coding RNA. The record is from Ensembl. NCBI's taxonomy places the organism in Eukaryota, Metazoa, Chordata, Mammalia, Artiodactyla, Bovidae.
GUUUAUAAAUCUUAUGUCUACACCAGCCUACGGGCCAAGGGCCAAGUACUUCAAUCUUUGCCUGAGGAGCUGUUGUUUAGUCACUAAGCCGAGUCGGACUCUUUUGCGACCCAAGGACUGUAGCCCACAAGGCUCCAUUCUCCAUGGAAUUUCCCAGAUACUAAAACCACCAUUAAAUGGAAGAAAUUAUCUACCUGAUGACCAUGAGCAUGUGGCCCCCAGACCUACUGGCACCUAAGGACUGAUAAUAUUAACUCCUGUGACUCUGCCCUUUUACUUCCCCGUCAGCCGAUUAGAGAACUGUGCACAACCUGAUCCUACCCUGGGCUGCCCCUCCCUCACUUUGUCUUUAAAAAUAUGCUUCCCUGAAGCCCAUCUAGGAAUUUGGGCUUUUUGAGCACUUGCUGUCCUGAACACCUUGCUUGGCACCCUGCAGUAAGCGCUGCACUGUCCUUCACCGCAACCUGGUGUCAGUACAUUGGCUUUACCUCUCAAGGGCAAGCAGACCCAAGUUUGGUUCCGUAACAUGUAUAGUUAAAAUUACUCAACUCCAUGUCGUUUAACUCAC